Small nuclear RNA from Suricata suricatta (meerkat), 102 nucleotides. Lineage: Eukaryota; Metazoa; Chordata; Mammalia; Carnivora; Herpestidae. The record is from Ensembl.
AAGGCUGUACUGUGCUUCAUAUACUAAUAUUGGAACGAUACAGAGGAGAUUAACACGAUCCCUGUGCAAAGAUGACAGAUUUACGAAGCAUUCCACAUUCGG